This is a long non-coding RNA of Dipodomys spectabilis (banner-tailed kangaroo rat), 105 nucleotides long. RefSeq lists it as uncharacterized. Lineage: Eukaryota; Metazoa; Chordata; Mammalia; Rodentia; Heteromyidae. The record is from RefSeq and is a predicted model, not a curated record. The transcript is spliced from 4 exons.
UAAUAAGUGUUGACGUGCAUCAGAAAUCGAUUGAGUGGAACCGAGCUGGUGGCUGCAGCGAAGGCUGGAGCAGGAGGGGGGCUGGGGGGGGAGAAGGAAGGAUGG